This 447-nucleotide ribosomal RNA is filed under the name uncultured bacterium. RNAcentral describes it as "partial 16S ribosomal RNA". It matches the Rfam family "Bacterial small subunit ribosomal RNA", at positions 29 to 523 of the family's 1533-position model. The record is from RNAcentral.
AGCGAACGCUGGCGGCAGGCUUAACACAUGCAAGUCGAGCGCCCCGCAAGGGGAGCGGCAGACGGGAGAGUAACACGUGGGAACGUACCCUUUAGUUCGGAACAACCCAGGGAAACUUGGGCUGAUACCGGAUACGUCCGUAAGGAGAAAGAUUUAUCGCUAAAGGAUCGGCCCGCGUCUGAUUAGCUAGUUGGUGAGGUAACGGCUCACCAAGGCGACGAUCAGUAGCUGGUCUGAGAGGAUGAUCAGCCUCACUGGGACUGAGACACGGCCCAGACUCCUACGGGAGGCAGCAGUGGGGAAUAUUGGACAAUGGGCGCAAGCCUGAUCCAGCCAUGCCGCGUGGGUGAUGAAGGCCCUAGGGUUGUAAAGCCCUUUCGGCGGGGAAGAUAAUGACGGUACCCGCAGAAGAAGCCCCGGCUAACUUCGAGCCAGCCGCCGCAGUAA